CUGAGCUGUUUCCAGAUGAGAAGCAAACAUAUUCCAGGCUUUUUUGCUUCUGGAGAAACAGCACUAAUUCUUAGGCUCAUUCUGCUUUGGGAUUUUUAUUUUUGUUUUAACAAGAAGUCUCUUCAGCAGGGUUUUGCAGUCCUGCUCAGUGCCACAGCUGCUCAGCCCACAUCUGGGAAUAAGGACCCAGGUGGAGAAACAUUUGCUUUAUGGCUUCUGCCAGGACUCAGAUCAGGUCCAAGCACCAUCAUUGCCAAAGGCACACUUUUGGUAUGGACAGCAGCGGCAGAAGACUGAAUACAGCCUGUGAAGCACAUAACAAAAAUGAAAGUCUGAGAGCUGUUAGAAAAACUGACAGCUAUAUGCAUAUAUGUCAUUACCCAAGUACAAAACCAUC
Long non-coding RNA from Cygnus olor (mute swan), 397 nucleotides. RefSeq lists it as uncharacterized. The transcript is spliced from 3 exons. The record is from RefSeq and is a predicted model, not a curated record. NCBI's taxonomy places the organism in Eukaryota, Metazoa, Chordata, Aves, Anseriformes, Anatidae.